CAUAUCACACUACCUGUUGGCAAUAUUAAACUUUCCGCAAUUAUGUAUGGCUGUUUGGUCUGAGCGACACGUAAUGCAACUUGAUAAGAGGCUUUUAAAGCUAGCUCGCACACUUUGGCUGAUUGUCUCAUCAAGGUCUGCUUGCCCUCAAAAGAUUUUAAACGGGAAAUAUUAAAUGUUUUUUUCUUUCAAGUGAGCAUGGGUUGUCUUUGAGUGUCGUUGCAGCUUUGAUGGUUUCAUAGUUUCGUUUGAUAGCACGGAAGAGCAAACCACGCACACUGCUAAUUCUUCACCAUCGGUCUCUUUAUAGGUGAAGGCAAACUUCAGAUAAUUCUCGGAAUAUUUACGUGUCUUCUCCCGUUUGCGCUUUUGGCUGUUCAUGUUGGCAUCCUCUGAAGGUAGAUUAUCUGAACCACCAUCAGUGGUGUCUGACCAGGAGCUUUUGUUCCGAGAAAUUACAAAACGAUCAAUUAUUUCAAAUUGUAUGGUUAUGGCAGGUAACGUCUUUUGGCACCAGAUAGCUAAAUGUAGCUUAAAGUGCAUAUGUUGCCAUUAUGAUCAAAUGAUCGAGUAAAGACUCAUGGGUAGCCUAUGUAUUAUUUUUAAGGAAUAGAAAGCAAUUUUUACGUUCUGUUUAUGUUUAUGUAGUCUUUUGGACGUUGUACAUUUUUGGAAGAGGGAAAAAAUGCUUCAGAUGAAAUAAUUUGGCGGACCCCCUGCAGUACCUCCGCGGACCCCCUGGGGGUCGCGGACCCCCGGUUGAAGACCUCUGCUCCAGAUCAAGGCAAAAGGGACUGCAAUAUGCAGUGGAAGGAUAUAUCCAAAAUAUUAAGAUCAACAACAAAGUGGACACAACAAUAAUCGAAGCAAAAGCAUACAGGUCUCAAUAAAAAAAAUUAGAAACCCCACGACCUCAUCAUUAAAUGCCACCAGCACAACCUUGUAGACUAGUCAUGUUAUUUCUCCACUGGGUAAGAUCUGUAUAUAAUAUUUCAAGCUAGCUAAUAACCUACAAAGAUUCUUUAUUCUUAUUAUUUAUUCCGUAUCUGGCGAGAGACUCUGGAGGUAUCUAUCUAUCUAGCUAGCUAGGAUGGUGACAAUCUAGAGAACAGUACAGUAACGUACCAGUGUGGAUCAAGAUAGCUGCUAGUAACGUUAUUGUUCAAGGGAUGUGUGUACAUGUUGCUGAAAGUAUUUCACAGUCACUGUAGUGAUGACUUGCUUGUAAAAUGAUGACCCUGAUGUAAUGCUAUGGCUUUGUAUCAGAUCGCCAGGUUAUUGCUCUCAGGUUGUGACUUAUGCAUAACUUGGGAUACUCAGGAGUAGGCCCAUUCACAAAAUGCUACAAAGAUUAAAAUAAAAAAAACUUCAUAAUGGCCUUUUUAUUCAACAUUGAUACAGUAUUUUAAGCUCGAGCUAGUCUCUCCAACUAAAGUGUUAAUGUUAAAAUCAAAAUGUUAAUGUUACAUCUGUAAAAUUGCACGCUGAGCUAUCCUAGCUAGCGAUGUUAUUGUUACGUCUGUAAAAUUGCACGCUGAGCUAUCCUAGCUAGCGAUAGCAAACGCCAGCAGCAUAAAUACAAAGUGUUCGUUAAAAGUUCUGUUCAAUGUUGUAUCAAGCGUAAAUACAAAGUGUUCGUUAAAAGUUAUGUUCAAUGCUGGCGUUUGCUAUCGCUAGCUAAGAUAGCUCAGCGUGCAAUUUUACAGACGGUAACAUUAACAUUUUGACGGUAACAUUAACAUUUUGAUUUUAACAUUAACACUUUAGUUGGAGAGACUAGUUAUGUACUUGUAGUGGUAAUAUUACAAGUUGUAUCAUACCUAGCGAUAGCGUAGUUCGCUAGAUAGAUAGCUAGCUGCAAGCAGCUUCAUUUACUUUGGAGCAGACAUAUGUGUGUUUUUCGAUAUAUUGAGUUGGGAGUGGGGUCUCCCACACUGUUUAAUCCACCGCUGGCACCUUUCCUCCUGUGUUUUGGGCUUUGGAAAUGCGGGGGGAAAACGAUGCAUCCCUCUAAUCUCUGUAUCAGAGCUACAAGUCCCAUAGGCACACUUUUUCACCAUGCUGCUCAGACCUCAGAGUUGUCGGACCUUCUUCUCUUAGUAGCGGUUGCUAAGGUAUGAUUGGACGAGGGCCGUUCUAGGGAGGAGUUUCGCGAUCGGUCAAUUAACAUUUAAACACAAAGUUAUUGAUAACAUUUUUUUUUAUUUCUGCACUGUUUCUCCGCAACAAAAAAAUAGUUCCAUUGUCAACGUCUUUUGGAAUUAUAAUAAUUUUGAAUUAACGGUUAUCGCUUAAUUGUAUCAACGUGCUAUAGAAUGUUUCAUCGCGGAGUGAUUUAUUAUUAGCUGUGAAAAGUCCGAGUUGGGAUGUCCUGGGCUAUUCCAACUCAUGGAACGUCUCUCGUCCAAUCAGAAACAGCUAAAUAAUUCGAUGGAACCCAAUUGUUUUAUAAUAAUAUUUAGAUAGACAGUUAGUAGUCCGUAUGAAUGGAGUAGGGGCAUCAAUAUUUAAGAUAAUUAAGACCUUUGUCAGGUUUUUAAUGGCACACACGACACACUGGAACACACACGUGCAUAUAUAGAGGUGACACAGGACACACACGCAGGUAGGCCUGAGGUCGCGGUGAAUUUAUUUUCUGCUUUUUUCCCAUCCUGGACCGUCCUUCCUCAAGGACCGCCCAGGAGCAGUGGGCAGCUUGUAGCGCCCGGGGACCAAUUGAAGUGAACUGUCCAU
Molecule: long non-coding RNA, 2733 nt
Organism: Clupea harengus (Atlantic herring)
Lineage: Eukaryota; Metazoa; Chordata; Actinopteri; Clupeiformes; Clupeidae
Source: Ensembl